AUUGAACGCUGGCGGCAUGCUUUACACAUGCAAGUCGAACGGUAACAGGCCGCAAGGUGCUGACGAGUGGCGAACGGGUGAGUAAUGCAUCGGAACGUGCCCAGUCGUGGGGGAUAACUACUCGAAAGAGUAGCUAAUACCGCAUACGAUCUAUGGAUGAAAGCGGGGGACCGUAAGGCCUCGCGCGAUUGGAGCGGCCGAUGUCAGAUUAGGUAGUUGGUGGGGUAAAGGCUCACCAAGCCAACGAUCUGUAGCUGGUCUGAGAGGACGACCAGCCACACUGGGACGGAGACACGGCCCAGACUCCUACGGGAGGCAGCAGGGGGGAAUUUUGGACAAAGGGCGCAAGCCUGAUCCAGCAAUGCCGCGUGCAGGAAGAAGGCCUUCGGGUUGUAAACUGCUUUUGUACGGAACGAAACGGCUCUGGUUAAUACCCGGGGCUAAUGACGGUACCGUAAGAAUAAGCACCGGCUAACUACGUG
Molecule: ribosomal RNA, 482 nt
Filed under: uncultured bacterium
Lineage: Bacteria
Description: partial 16S ribosomal RNA
Rfam family: Bacterial small subunit ribosomal RNA
Source: RNAcentral